GCGUAUCCAGAGUAUAAACAUUGACAAUGACAUGGAGGUGGCCUUUGAUUUUAUUGCAAAAGAGCAUAUCUGCGCCCUGCCCUGCAACGCAGAUUCUAUCCUGACAGGAGCAAAAAUGGAAUCCAUGCGACCCACUUAACUGCUGAGCUGAGGAAGUGACAUUUAAUUCACUUUAGAGUUAUUGCUCCAAGCAAAUACUAAUAACUGGGCCAUACUUUGUGUGGAUUGAACUUGAAAGACAGAUUCCAGUAGGGCUUAAAGCCACUGUCAAUCUCUUUUCAGCGAGGAUUGGCUUCACUAUGAAGAUUCAGCUGGACAAGUCCUGGUUGCCCAAGAACAACCUGGAGUUUAUUUUAAGGCUUGUUCCUUUGCAACUGCAGCUUUACCUCCAUACACCUGUAUGACUUAGAGAAAAUUUGGCUCAUGAUCUGGAGGUUCCCCAUGACUGGUUAAACUGAGAUUAGCAAGCACAAACCAGGUUGAUAUCAUGGUAUCAAAUUAUGGUUUGUUCUCACUCCACAGCUCCAUGAAGUGAGACAUCACAUAGAACUGUGGUAUCUUCAGAACUAAAAGUAGCUCUUGGAGAAGUAGAGAAAGAAGGAGCACAUGAGCUCAAGACAUACUGUGUCUCUUGCUCAUGAUGGAAAAUCAAGGUGCAUUUCUAGACCUAUAAAGUGGCCUUUUAUUUAACAACACACUGUAGCCACAAUGAUGAGGAAUCCCAUGCAGGUGAGUGAAUGGCUUAGCAAUGGAGGUGAUGGCUAUCUCCAUCCCUUGUCCACCAUAGUGCUCCACCAAGUUGAGAAGAAUGGGAAGGCAGUCUUUCAGCUCUACCCCUUCUUUGCCACCUGUGUUGAUAGAAUACAAGGAGGUUUUACAAGCCUGCUAAGAGGCUAGUAUCCUCAAUAUCCGUAUUGGAGAUUGAGGAGGUAGUUCCGUGGUAAUGCAGAAUAGUACUCUCUUAACUAGUAAUGUUAUACAUAUAUUUGCAGGCUAUGAACUUUUGUGGGCUUAUUUACAAGGACGUUAUGUACAUUGCUGAAACUGAGACUAGAUAUGUAGAAGCAACUCCUUGAAAUAAAAUCAGUUUGGUGGUCAGUAUCUAGCGUUUGCAUUCAGGUUUGUCCAUGUUCAGUGCUUCAGAGUCACAAAGAUGCUCUCCCUUGGAAAGCUGUCCUUCUGACUCUCUGGAACCCUAAUGCCGCCCUUUGAACAUGCACACUGAGUUUCAUGCUCCUGCACUGGCACAGCAGUCAGUGCUCUGUUUCUGGGGUUUCUGAACAUAGCCUUGACCCCUUUCUACUGUCUCUCUUGGUUGGAGCCAGAGGCAGAGUAUCAACUCACUGGCUGCCCUAUCCUAAUCUGUGCCUCUCCCUUUGAGAUUUAUUGUUAGUGCUGGACUAUCAGUAAGGCAGCUCUCUCCCUCUCUUCCUCCUUUUUUCCUGGAGUUCCUCUCAUAAGGACUUUAAAGUGCGCUGUAAGCCAGCAUGACUCUUCUUCCCUCUUUCUCUCUUUGCUUGCUCACAGGCUGAGGGCAAGAACUGCCUGGUGGAAACAUCUGUAUUUAUACUGAUUAGUAUCACCAAUCUGCUACUUUAAAAAGGCAUGUCUAUUUAACAUACAUUUAAGUGCUAAUUAUCACUGACUGUAAUUGCUGCAUCUCGUUGCCCCACCCACCUUACAGUUUUCUCCUUUAUGUACCUGCCAACUGAUGUUUCACUUCAUGCAUUUGACAAAGUGAGUCCACGAAAACUUAGGCCACAGUACAUUUGUUAGUCUUUAAGGCAUCACAAGGCUUUUGGUUGUUUAUAGUGGGAAGGCUGAAAUCCUGAACCUGUUUACCUGGGGCCAGCCCAUUGAAUUCAAUAGUUUUUUUAAGAGACCUGUUGUAUUGUAUUGCCUGUUAGUUACACAUGGGAUGCCGAGAUGUUGUUGUCUGUUGUGAGUUAUUGCCAUACAUUUGAUCUGAAUAGAGACAAUAGUUUCCAUUCCUGCUACAGGUGUUAAUUAACUUUACAUUGUCAAUUUGAUUGUUUUAUCACCUACUACUGCUGUUAUAAAGGCCUACUGUGUUUAUUUUGCACACACUCAAGCAGUAAUUGAAUUAUCGCUGUCUGAACUACUUUCAUUUCAUUUCUCUUUGAUCUCGCUGCUUACAACUCCUCUUACAACCAUGUGAAUGUUUAUCUGCAUCUGAGGAUUACAUCUGAUGAAGUCAACUCUAGUCCACACAAGUUUAUACCAUAAUAAAAUUUGUUAAUCUUUA
Non-coding RNA from Podarcis muralis (Common wall lizard), 2266 nucleotides. The record is from RefSeq and is a predicted model, not a curated record. NCBI's taxonomy places the organism in Eukaryota, Metazoa, Chordata, Lepidosauria, Squamata, Lacertidae.